CCUUCUGCCCUUUUUUGCAGGUAAGUGCUAUGUAUGUGUUUCUUAUGGUUCUUUUUGUAUACAUUAGGCAGAGUAGGACCUGCCAGAUAUGGGGUACAUUGGCGUUGUUGGCAGGCUUAUGCAAUGUAUGAUCAUAUAAUGUGACUAAAUCCCCAUGAUUUUCAUAUAUAGUACUUAGUUAUUUCUCCUCUUGUUUUGCCUAUCAUAUCUUGUCUUGUUUUAGUUUGUAUUCCCAGUCCAUGUACAGUCCUGCCCUGCC
Molecule: non-coding RNA, 259 nt
Organism: Pelobates cultripes (western spadefoot toad)
Lineage: Eukaryota; Metazoa; Chordata; Amphibia; Anura; Pelobatidae
Source: the annotation of a GenBank genome assembly